RNAcentral lists this ribosomal RNA (468 nucleotides) under uncultured bacterium. Its description in RNAcentral is "partial 16S ribosomal RNA". It matches the Rfam family "Bacterial small subunit ribosomal RNA", at positions 28 to 507 of the family's 1533-position model. The record is from RNAcentral.
GACGAACGCUGGCGGCGUGCUUAACACAUGCAAGUCGAACGGAAAGACCCUGCAUUUGUGGGGUGCUCGAGUGGCGAACGGGUGAGUAACACGUGAGUAACCUGCCCUUGACUGUGGGAUAACUUCAGGAAACUGGGGCUAAUACCGGAUAGGAGCUCCUGCUGCAUGGAGGGGGGGGGAAAGUUUCGGCGGUUGGGGAUGGACUCGCGGCUGAUCAGCUUGUUGGUGGGGUAGUGGCUUACCAAGGCGUUGACGGGUAGCCGGCCUGAGAGGGUGACCGGCCACAUUGGGACUGAGGUACGGCCCAGUCUCCUACGGGAGGCAGCAGUGGGGAAUAUUGCACAAUGGGCGGAAGCCUGAUGCAGCAACGCCGCGUGCGGGAUGACGGCCUUCGGGUUGUAAACCGCUUUCGCCUGUGACGAAGCGUGAGUGACGGUAAUGGGUAAAGAAGCACCGGCUAACUACGUG